GUCCCGAUGGAGCCUCGUGAGCAUGUCUCUCCUGCUUUAUUUUCUCUUGCAGGUGAUGUACCUGAGCUCUUGGACGAAGGACCAGCUACAGAUGCAGUUGAGGAAACGCCGCUACCAAGACGACCCUCAUCAACAGGCUGGAUGUUGUGACAUGGCUUCAAGGAGCGUCGGUUGGAGGAAUUCUCUGUAUGACAGACAAGAUCUUCUAAACCUGCGUAAUGAUGACUUAAUGUCCUGAAUUUAUCCUGCCAAUCCUCCACUUCAGCCCGCAAAUUGUGGUUGCUACGCCGCAAUGAAGCCUGUUGCAGGUAUGGGAAGGAUAAUUUAUUAUCUCUUAUUCGAAAUAGAAAAUAUGGAAUAAUUCCUCAGUCAAGAUAUUGCCACUAUUGAGCUAACGUAAAUCCCAAUGCGACAUAGCGCUGCGACGGAUGAAACAUUUAAGCAGGGUUGCAGAUUGUCGAAGUUGAUACCAAACUAUCUCUUGACAGUUCAUCAUGUAAUAGAAAUCCCAUGACCGCAGAAAAUGGGUUUUAGUAAGAUCACGUAUUUUCAGCUCUUGGACGUGGCCAUAUAGGAGCCGAUUUUCUUAAAUUAAAAGUAGACUUUCUUAUCAUGUAAUUGUACCAAUUCCACCAGAAGCUGAGCCUUCUCCCCUCCAAGAGAGGCUCGAACCUGCGCAUAGUUGAACCUUA
Molecule: non-coding RNA, 692 nt
Organism: Physcomitrium patens
Lineage: Eukaryota; Viridiplantae; Streptophyta; Bryopsida; Funariales; Funariaceae
Source: RefSeq, a predicted model, not a curated record